CUGCGAUGAUGGCACCUCUUAGGACACCUUUGGAUUCACUGUGAAAACAGCGGUUCUCUGAGCAGC
Small nucleolar RNA from Myotis lucifugus (little brown bat), 66 nucleotides. Its record names the gene SNORD58. It matches the Rfam family "Small nucleolar RNA SNORD58". Rfam says of the family: snoRNA U58 is found in introns 1, 3 and 6 of the ribosomal protein RPL17 gene in humans. Lineage: Eukaryota; Metazoa; Chordata; Mammalia; Chiroptera; Vespertilionidae. The record is from Ensembl.